RNAcentral lists this transfer RNA (71 nucleotides) under Loxodonta africana (African savanna elephant). It matches the Rfam family "tRNA". From Rfam's summary of the family: Transfer RNA (tRNA) molecules are approximately 80 nucleotides in length. Their secondary structure includes four short double-helical elements and three loops (D, anti-codon, and T loops). Lineage: Eukaryota; Metazoa; Chordata; Mammalia; Proboscidea; Elephantidae. The record is from Rfam by way of RNAcentral.
GCAGUGGCAGUUCAGUGGGAGAAUUCCAGCCUUCCAUGUGGGAGACCUGGGUUUAAUUCCCAGCGUGUGCA